This 77-nucleotide transfer RNA is filed under the name Flavobacteriaceae bacterium. RNAcentral's name for it is "tRNA-Asn". It matches the Rfam family "tRNA". Rfam says of the family: Transfer RNA (tRNA) molecules are approximately 80 nucleotides in length. Their secondary structure includes four short double-helical elements and three loops (D, anti-codon, and T loops). Lineage: Bacteria; Pseudomonadati; Bacteroidota; Flavobacteriia; Flavobacteriales; Flavobacteriaceae. The record is from RNAcentral.
UCCUCCUUAGCUCAGUUGGUUAGAGCAUCUGACUGUUAAUCAGAGGGUCCAAAGUUCGAGUCUUUGAGGAGGAGCUA